ACAGUCUGGUGAUGAACCCAAUUAGAGUACUAAGCUACUAAGAAAGAUUCUAUAUAUACAUCAUAUAUUUUAUACUUAAAACAUAUCUUUAAGACAUGCGAGGGUUUGGAUGUUCAAUCGGGUUAAACCCUGGAGCCGACUUGAACCAAAUCAAAAAUCCAUGCUUGAUCACAAUCAAGAUGAUAUUUUAAUCUUUGAUUAUAUAGAUCAAGGUAGGCUCUGAUACUACUAUUGAAUUUUGAUGGCACAGUGGAAGUAUUAGAUUUUUAAUAUUUUCAUUAAAAAUACC
Molecule: long non-coding RNA, 289 nt
Filed under: Elaeis guineensis (African oil palm)
Lineage: Eukaryota; Viridiplantae; Streptophyta; Magnoliopsida; Arecales; Arecaceae
Description: long non-coding RNA (EGUI_LNC033009)
Source: RNAcentral